AGCUCCAAUGGCGUAUAUUAAAGUUGCUGCGGUUAAAAAGCUCGUAGUUGGAGUUCUGCCGAGGAAGACUGGUCCGCCCUCUGGGUGAGUAUCUAGAUUGGCCUGGGCAUUUUCUUGGAGAAAGUGGUUGCGCUUGGCUGUGUGGCGCGGUAUCCAGGACCUGUACUUUGAGGAAAUUAGAGUGUUUCAAGCAGGCCCACGCCUUGUAUACAAUAGCAUGGAAUACUACGAGAGGAUCUCAGUUCUACUGUGUUGGUUCGCAGAGCUGCGGUAAUGGUUAAUAGGGAUGGCUGGGGGUGUUUGCACUUAAUUGUCAGAGGUGAAAUUCUUGGAUUUGUUAAAGACGGACAACUGCGAAAGCAUUCGCCAAGGAUGUUCUCA
RNAcentral lists this ribosomal RNA (381 nucleotides) under uncultured eukaryote. RNAcentral's name for it is "SSU rRNA". It matches the Rfam family "Eukaryotic small subunit ribosomal RNA", at positions 587 to 972 of the family's 1831-position model. The record is from RNAcentral.